Molecule: long non-coding RNA, 1198 nt
Organism: Haliotis rufescens (red abalone)
Lineage: Eukaryota; Metazoa; Mollusca; Gastropoda; Lepetellida; Haliotidae
Exons: 2
Source: RefSeq, a predicted model, not a curated record
AGUCUGGACCAGACAAUCCAGUGAUUGACAUCAUGAGGAACAAUCCCGACCCGUUAGUCGCCCAUUACGACAAACAUAGUCGCCUUUUUCAGCACGCAUGGGUUGCUGAAGACCUAUUCUACUUGUGAUUGGUACUUAUAUACAUACGUCCAUGUAAACUUGAUGUUAGAAUUAAGUGUCUAUGCACUUGAUUUUCUGAUGUGCAAUUACUCCUCAAAAAUAUUAUUUAUCUGUAUUAAAAAUGUUUCAGUGUAUCCAUUGUGUUUAUAAUGUCGUGGGUUUUUCUUCCACGCGCUACUUUCACAUUGCGGGUUUAGGAUUGACAUGUACCGAGUACAGUACGGCACAAGUAUUUUUACCUGUGGUUAAACAAGUUCGAUGUACUUUGUUAUUAUUACACAAAACACAAACACAUGAGUGUAUAAACAGGAGUUUAUUAGUCAGGCACAGAGUCCAUUGAUGUUUAAAAAUAAUUGUAGAUAUGCAGGGAUAUAUGAAUGGAGAACAUAUAUAUCGAACAUGAAAAAGAUUGAUAAAUAAUGAUUAAAACAGUCGAACACCAAUGUGUUGAAGUUGCCUACGUAAAUACUUCGAGUUAUCCGAGGUUCGACACAAGCGGCAUACACCGAUUGGUAUGAGAAUGAAUAACACGAAACAUAUGUGACAUCAAACGACGAGGAAAUAAAAUUGUUUGAAUAAAUGUAGACAAACAGAGAGGCGAGAUCGACUAAAAGAGUAUAAUUGUGCUGGAAGUACGUUUGGGACUGACAACAGACUUCGAGACAACCCUAUCUUCUAAUUCAUCAGUUUCGACACAUCAGAGGUUAAAUAAUGGCGAGUAAAGACGGAACACACAGGGACAAUGCUCUGCCUUCGAGACAACCGUAAUUACGACACUUCAAAGUUCGACACAACGGUGUUUGACUGUAUAUAGCGCGAUCAUAAUCUGCAUACGACAAUUUGCAAGCGAUUGUUUAAUAUUCGCAUUUUAUUCAUUGCCCUAGUAGGCAUAUACACACGAUACAGUAUAUGUUAACUAUUCAGACGUAAAUCUACUGCUAUUCACUUGUCGUGAUGUUGUAUUUGGUUAAAACCAAAGAGAAUUUAUACAUGCUUAAUGACUCUGUAACGCUGGCUCAAGUACUAGAAAUUAAAGGGAGCAGUUCAAAUUUGCACUAUGCAUACAAUUUCAGACUGA